GACGAACGCUGGCGGCGUGCUUAACACAUGCAAGUCGAACGGUAAGGCCCUUCGGGGUACACGAGUGGCGAACGGGUGAGUAACACGUGGGUGAUCUGCCCUGCACUUCGGGAUAAGCCUGGGAAACUGGGUCUAAUACCGGAUAGGACCACUGCCUGCAUGGGUGGUGGUGGAAAGCUUUUGCGGUGUGGGAUGGGCCCGCGGCCUAGCGGCUUGUUGGUGGGGUGAUGGCCUACCAAGGGGACGACGGGUGGCCGGCCUGAGAGGGUGACCGGCCACACUGGGGCUGAGAUACGGCCCAGACUCCUACGGGAGGCAGCAGUGGGGAAUAUUGCACAAGGGGCGCAAGCCUGAUGCAGCGACGCCGCGUGAGGGAUGACGGCCUUGGGGUUGUAAACCUCUUUCAGCACCGACGAAGCGCAAGUGACGGUAGGUGCAGAAGAAGGACCGGCCAACUACGUGCCAGCAGCCGCCGUAA
RNAcentral lists this ribosomal RNA (478 nucleotides) under uncultured bacterium. Its description in RNAcentral is "partial 16S ribosomal RNA". It matches the Rfam family "Bacterial small subunit ribosomal RNA", at positions 28 to 523 of the family's 1533-position model. The record is from RNAcentral.